RNAcentral lists this small nucleolar RNA (104 nucleotides) under Corchorus capsularis. Lineage: Eukaryota; Viridiplantae; Streptophyta; Magnoliopsida; Malvales; Malvaceae. The record is from RNAcentral.
GAUGCCAUCCCCCUUUGUAUAUCUUCUCCAUAUAUAUUAAAUCAGAAGUUAAUGCUUGUGCACCUCUCCAUCUUGUGUACAAGUUUGGCUCUUUUAUUACAUUC